GCCUGAGUGGCUCAGUGGUUGAGCAUCGGCCUUUGGCUCAGGGCAUGAUCCCGAGGUUCUGGGAUCGAGUCCCUCAUCAGGCU
Molecule: transfer RNA, 83 nt
Filed under: Canis lupus familiaris (dog)
Lineage: Eukaryota; Metazoa; Chordata; Mammalia; Carnivora; Canidae
Also listed under: 1 other name
Rfam family: tRNA
About the family: Transfer RNA (tRNA) molecules are approximately 80 nucleotides in length. Their secondary structure includes four short double-helical elements and three loops (D, anti-codon, and T loops).
Source: Rfam by way of RNAcentral